CUAUCGGGGUCCGACUAAGCCAUGCGAGCCAUGGGGUCCCUUCGGGGACACCGGCGAACGGCUCAGUAACACGUGGCUAACCUACCCUCGGGUGGGGGAUAACCUCGGGAAACUGAGGCUAAUCCCCCAUAGGGGAGGAGGUCUGGAACGAUCCCUCCUCGAAAGGCCUCGCGCCGCCCGAGGAUGGGGCCGCGGCGGAUUAGGUAGUUGGUGGGGUAACGGCCCACCAAGCCUACGAUCCGUACGGACCCUGAGAGGGGGAGCCCGGAGAUGGACACUGAGACACGGGUCCAGGCCCUACGGGGCGCAGCAGGCGCGAAACCUCCGCAAUGCGCGAAAGCGUGACGGGGGACCCCGAGUGCCCUGCCUCUGGUAGGGCUUUUCCGGAGUGUAAACAGCUCCGGGAAUAAGGGCUGGGCAAGUCCGGUGCCAGCAGCCGCGGUAAUACCGGGCGGCCCAAGUGGUGGCCACUGUUAUUGGGCCUAAAGCGUCCGUAGCCGGCCCAGUAAGUCCCUGCUUAAAUCCCGCGGCUUAACCGCGGGGCUGGCGGGGAUACUGCUGGGCUUGGGACCGGGAGAGGCCGGGGGUACUCCAGGGGUAGCGGUGAAAUGCGUUGAUCCCUGGAGGACCACCUGUGGCGAAGGCGCCCGGCUGGAACGGGUCCGACGGUGAGGGACGAAGGCCGGGGGAGCAAACCGGAUUAGAUACCCGGGUAGUCCCGGCUGUAAACUCUGCGGACUAGGUAUUGCGUGCCCUUCGGGGGCACGCAGUGCCGAAGGGAAGCCGUUAAGUCCGCCGCCUGGGGAGUACGGCUGCAAGGCUGAAACUUAAAGGAAUUGGCGGGGAGCACCACAACCGGUGGAGCCUGCGGUUU
Molecule: ribosomal RNA, 874 nt
Filed under: uncultured archaeon
Lineage: Archaea
Description: bacterial SSU rRNA
Rfam family: Archaeal small subunit ribosomal RNA
Source: RNAcentral